GCCCAGAUGGCGGAAUUGGUAGACGCGCAGGUUUCAGGUACCUGUGCCGCGUGGUGUGGAGGUUCGAGUCCUCUUCUGGGCACCA
RNAcentral lists this transfer RNA (85 nucleotides) under Candidatus Tokpelaia sp. JSC188. RNAcentral describes it as "tRNA-Leu". It matches the Rfam family "tRNA". From Rfam's summary of the family: Transfer RNA (tRNA) molecules are approximately 80 nucleotides in length. Their secondary structure includes four short double-helical elements and three loops (D, anti-codon, and T loops). The record is from RNAcentral. Lineage: Bacteria; Pseudomonadati; Pseudomonadota; Alphaproteobacteria; Hyphomicrobiales.